GGGUUGUGAGGUUAAGCGACUAAGCGUACACGGUGGAUGCCCUGGCAGUCAGAGGCGAUGAAGGACGUGCUAAUCUGCGAAAAGCGUCGGUAAGGUGAUAUGAACCGUUAUAACCGGCGAUGUCCGAAUGGGGAAACCCAGUGCAAUUCGUUGCACUAUCGUUAACUGAAUACAUAGGUUAACGAGGCGAACCGGGGGAACUGAAACAUCUAAGUACCCCGAGGAAAAGAAAUCAACCGAGAUUCCCCCAGUAGCGGCGAGCGAACGGGGAGCAGCCCAGAGUCUGAAUCAGCUUGUGUGUUAGUGGAACGGUCUGGAAAGUCCGACGGUACAGGGUGAUAGUCCCGUACACCAAAAUGCACAGGCUGUGAACUCGAAGAGUAGGGCGGGACACGUGGUAUCCUGUCUGAAUAUGGGGGGACCAUCCUCCAAGGCUAAAUACUCCUGACUGACCGAUAGUGAACCAGUACCGUGAGGGAAAGGCGAAAAGAACCCCGGCGAGGGGAGUGAAAAAGAACCUGAAACCGUGUACGUACAAGCAGUGGGAGCACCUUCGGGUGUGACUGCGUACCUUUUGUAUAAUGGGUCAGCGACUUAUAUUCUGUAGCAAGGUUAACCGUAUAGGGGAGCCGCAGGGAAACCGAGUCUUAACUGGGCGUUAAGUUGCAGGGUAUAGACCCGAAACCCGGUGAUCUAGCCAUGGGCAGGUUGAAGGUUGGGUAACACUAACUGGAGGACCGAACCGACUAAUGUUGAAAAAUUAGCGGAUGACUUGUGGCUGGGGGUGAAAGGCCAAUCAAACCGGGAGAUAGCUGGUUCUCCCCGAAAGCUAUUUAGGUAGCGCCUCGUGAACUCAUCUUCGGGGGUAGAGCACUGUUUCGGCUAGGGGGUCAUCCCGACUUACCAACCCGAUGCAAACUACGAAUACCGAAGAAUGUUAUCACGGGAGACACACGGCGGGUGCUAACGUCCGUCGUGAAGAGGGAAACAACCCAGACCGCCAGCUAAGGUCCCAAAGUCAUGGUUAAGUGGGAAACGAUGUGGGAAGGCACAGACAGCCAGGAUGUUGGCUUAGAAGCAGCCAUCAUUUAAAGAAAGCGUAAUAGCUCACUGGUCGAGUCGGCCUGCGCGGAAGAUGUAACGGGGCUAAACCAUGCACCGAAGCUGCGGCAGCGACACUAUGUGUUGUUGGGUAGGGGAGCGUUCUGUAAGCCUGCGAAGGUGACCUGUGAGGGUUGCUGGAGGUAUCAGAAGUGCGAAUGCUGACAUAAGUAACGAUAAAGCGGGUGAAAAGCCCGCUCGCCGGAAGACCAAGGGUUCCUGUCCAACGUUAAUCGGGGCAGGGUGAGUCGACCCCUAAGGCGAGGCCGAAAGGCGUAGUCGAUGGGAAACAGGUUAAUAUUCCUGUACUUGGUGUUACUGCGAAGGGGGGACGGAGAAGGCUAUGUUAGCCGGGCGACGGUUGUCCCGGUUUAAGCAUGUAGGCUGGUUAUCCAGGCAAAUCCGGAUAAUCAAGGCUGAGGUGUGAUGACGAGGCACUACGGUGCUGAAGUAACAAAUGCCCUGCUUCCAGGAAAAGCCUCUAAGCAUCAGGUAACAUCAAAUCGUACCCCAAACCGACACAGGUGGUCAGGUAGAGAAUACCAAGGCGCUUGAGAGAACUCGGGUGAAGGAACUAGGCAAAAUGGUGCCGUAACUUCGGGAGAAGGCACGCUGGUGUGUAGGUGAAGUCCCUGCGGAUGGAGCUGAGACCAGUCGAAGAUACCAGCUGGCUGCAACUGUUUAUUAAAAACACAGCACUGUGCAAACACGAAAGUGGACGUAUACGGUGUGACGCCUGCCCGGUGCCGGAAGGUUAAUUGAUGGGGUUAUCCGUAAGGAGAAGCUCUUGAUCGAAGCCCCGGUAAACGGCGGCCGUAACUAUAACGGUCCUAAGGUAGCGAAAUUCCUUGUCGGGUAAGUUCCGACCUGCACGAAUGGCGUAAUGAUGGCCAGGCUGUCUCCACCCGAGACUCAGUGAAAUUGAACUCGCUGUGAAGAUGCAGUGUACCCGCGGCAAGACGGAAAGACCCCGUGAACCUUUACUAUAGCUUGACACUGAACAUUGAGCCUUGAUGUGUAGGAUAGGUGGGAGGCUUUGAAGCGUGGACGCCAGUCUGCGUGGAGCCAACCUUGAAAUACCACCCUUUAAUGUUUGAUGUUCUAACGUUGGCCCCUUAUCGGGGUUGCGGACAGUGUCUGGUGGGUAGUUUGACUGGGGCGGUCUCCUCCCAAAGCGUAACGGAGGAGCACGAAGGUUAGCUAAUCCUGGUCGGACAUCAGGAGGUUAGUGCAAUGGCAUAAGCUAGCUUGACUGCGAGCGUGACGGCGCGAGCAGGUGCGAAAGCAGGUCAUAGUGAUCCGGUGGUUCUGAAUGGAAGGGCCAUCGCUCAACGGAUAAAAGGUACUCCGGGGAUAACAGGCUGAUACCGCCCAAGAGUUCAUAUCGACGGCGGUGUUUGGCACCUCGAUGUCGGCUCAUCACAUCCUGGGGCUGAAGUAGGUCCCAAGGGUAUGGCUGUUCGCCAUUUAAAGUGGUACGCGAGCUGGGUUUAGAACGUCGUGAGACAGUUCGGUCCCUAUCUGCCGUGGGCGCUGGAGAAUUGAGGGGGGCUGCUCCUAGUACGAGAGGACCGGAGUGGACGCAUCACUGGUGUUCGGGUUGUCAUGCCAAUGGCACUGCCCGGUAGCUAAAUGCGGAAGAGAUAAGUGCUGAAAGCAUCUAAGCACGAAACUUGCCCCGAGAUGAGUUCUCCCUGAGACUUUAAGUCUCCUGAAGGAACGUUAAAGACGAUGACGUUGAUAGGCCGGGUGUGUAAGCGCAGCGAUGCGUUGAGCUAACCGGUACUAAUGAACCGUGAGGCUUAACCUUACAACGCCGAAG
RNAcentral lists this ribosomal RNA (2923 nucleotides) under Klebsiella pneumoniae. Its description in RNAcentral is "23S ribosomal RNA". It matches the Rfam family "Bacterial large subunit ribosomal RNA". The record is from RNAcentral. Lineage: Bacteria; Pseudomonadati; Pseudomonadota; Gammaproteobacteria; Enterobacterales; Enterobacteriaceae.